CAGAUUGAACGCUGGCGGCAGGCCUAACACAUGCAAGUCGAGCGGAUGACGGGAGCUUGCUCCUGGAUUCAGCGGCGGACGGGUGAGUAAUGCCUAGGAAUCUGCCUGGUAGUGGGGGACAACGUUUCGAAAGGAACGCUAAUACCGCAUACGUCCUACGGGAGAAAGCAGGGGACCUUCGGGCCUUGCGCUAUCAGAUGAGCCUAGGUCGGAUUAGCUUGUUGGUGAGGUAAUGGCUCACCAAGGCGACGAUCCGUAACUGGUCUGAGAGGAUGAUCAGUCACACUGGAACUGAGACACGGUCCAGACUCCUACGGGAGGCAGCAGUGGGGAAUAUUGGACAAUGGGCGAAAGCCUGAUCCAGCCAUGCCGCGUGUGUGAAGAAGGUCUUCGGAUUGUAAAGCACUUUAAGUUGGGAGGAAGGGUUGUAGAUUAAUACUCUGCAAUUUUGACGUUACCGACAGAAUAAGCACCGGCUAACUCUGUGCCA
Molecule: ribosomal RNA, 490 nt
Filed under: Pseudomonas fulva
Lineage: Bacteria; Pseudomonadati; Pseudomonadota; Gammaproteobacteria; Pseudomonadales; Pseudomonadaceae
Description: bacterial SSU rRNA
Rfam family: Bacterial small subunit ribosomal RNA
Source: RNAcentral